Molecule: ribosomal RNA, 253 nt
Filed under: uncultured bacterium
Lineage: Bacteria
Description: partial 16S ribosomal RNA
Rfam family: Bacterial small subunit ribosomal RNA
Source: RNAcentral
UACAGAGGUCCCGAGCGUUGUUCGGAUUUAUUGGGCGUAAAGGGCUCGUAGGCGGUUUGUCGCGUCGGGAGUGAAAUCCACUGGCUUAACUGGUGGCUUGCUUUCGAUACGGGCAGACUGGAGGUAUGCAGGGGAGAACGGAAUUCCUGGUGUAGCGGUGAAAUGCGCAGAUAUCAGGAGGAACACCGGUGGCGAAGGCGGUUCUCUGGGCAUGUCCUGACGCUGAGGAGCGAAAGUGUGGGGAGCGAACAGG